CCCUUAGAUGUCCUGGGCCGCACGCGCGUUACACUGAUGCAUUCAACGAGCUUAUAACCUUGGCCGAGAGGCCUGGGCAAUCUUGUUAACGUGCAUCGUGAUAGGGAUAGAUUAUUGAAAUUAUUAAUCUUGAACGAGGAAUUCCUAGUAAACGCAGAUCAUCAAUCUGCAUUGAUUACGUCCCUGCCCUUUGUACACACCGCCCGUCGCACCUACCGAUUGGAUGGUCCGGUGAAGCCUCGGGAUUGUGGUUCUUGCCGCUUUAUUGUGGCGUGACCGCGAGAACUUGUCUAAACCUUAUCAUCUAGAGGAAGGUGAAGUUGUAACA
This 328-nucleotide ribosomal RNA is filed under the name uncultured eukaryote. Its description in RNAcentral is "partial 18S ribosomal RNA". It matches the Rfam family "Eukaryotic small subunit ribosomal RNA", at positions 1470 to 1796 of the family's 1831-position model. The record is from RNAcentral.